RNAcentral lists this ribosomal RNA (253 nucleotides) under uncultured bacterium. Its description in RNAcentral is "partial 16S ribosomal RNA". It matches the Rfam family "Bacterial small subunit ribosomal RNA", at positions 524 to 776 of the family's 1533-position model. The record is from RNAcentral.
UACAGAGGGUGCAAGCGUUGUUCGGAAUUAUUGGGCGUAAAGCGCGUGUAGGCGGCUUUGCAAGUCGAGUGUGAAAGCCCCCGGCUCAACUGGGGAGGGUCAUUCGAUACUGAUCGACUCGAAGGCAGGAGAGGGUAGUGGAAUUCCCGGUGUAGUGGUGAAAUGCGUAGAUAUCGGGAGGAACACCAGUGGCGAAGGCGACUACCUGGCCUGUUCUUGACGCUGAGGCGCGAAAGCUAGGGGAGCAAACGGG